AUUGAACGCUGGCGGAAUGCUUUACACAUGCAAGUCGAACGGCAGCACGGACUUCGGUCUGGUGGCGAGUGGCGAACGGGUGAGUAAUGUAUCGGAACGUGCCCAGUCGUGGGGGAUAACGUAGUGAAAAUUACGCUAAUACCGCAUACGAUCUAUGGAUGAAAGCGGGGGACCGUAAGGCCUCGCGCGAUUGGAGCGGCCGAUAUCAGAUUAGGUAGUUGGUGGGGUAAAGGCUCACCAAGCCGACGAUCUGUAGCUGGUCUGAGAGGACGACCAGCCACACUGGAACUGAGACACGGUCCAGACUCCUACGGGAGGCAGCAGUGGGGAAUGUUGGACAAUGGGCGCAAGCCUGAUCCAGCCAUUCCGCGUGCAGGAUGAAGGCCCUCGGGUUGUAAACUGCUUUUGUACGGAACGAAAAGGUCCUGGUUAAUACCUGGGGCUCAUGACGGUACCGUAAGAAUAAGCACCGGCUAACUACGUGCCAGCCGCCGCAGUAA
This 500-nucleotide ribosomal RNA is filed under the name uncultured bacterium. Its description in RNAcentral is "partial 16S ribosomal RNA". It matches the Rfam family "Bacterial small subunit ribosomal RNA", at positions 30 to 523 of the family's 1533-position model. The record is from RNAcentral.